Molecule: long non-coding RNA, 5224 nt
Organism: Brassica napus (rape)
Lineage: Eukaryota; Viridiplantae; Streptophyta; Magnoliopsida; Brassicales; Brassicaceae
Exons: 6
Source: RefSeq, a predicted model, not a curated record
AAAAAACGAGAACGAAAGAGAAAAAAAAUCAAAAUCUGAUCGCGUCUCGACCUUUCCUUCUUCUCGCCGAACCCGAUAUAAUUCUAUGGUGAAACAUCACAGAUUUGAAAAUUGACGAGCCCGUUGAAGGUGGAGAUUUAUUGACAGACACGGAGAGAGAGAAACUCGACGGAAACUGGCGACGCCUUUGCCGGAUUUUGAGGCGGCGAGAGGCGGAGGAGGAGUCGCGGCGUCUUCAUCAACCACGGUCAAUUCGAGCUCUGUACCUUCUUCUUCUUGUCCGCAUGUGGCGAAUUCGUUCUCGGAGGACGCGAAGAGAUUUCUCCUCCAUCUUCUUCUUCCUCCUCUCCCAUUCCUGUCGUCACCAGUUUUUGGAAAGGUUUGUUUCAGAUUCAUAUAUCGAGCUAUCUAUUCGCUUGCUUGCUUCGACUCCUCGGUGGUAGGCUGGUAGCUUGUUGUGGUGAGAGAAAUUCGUUUUUAGGUUUAACUUAGAUUCCAUUUAAGUUAGUACGACUGAAUCAAACUAGAGAUGUGCUUUUAGAUGUUCCGGAGAAGGCAAUGAUAGCUUAAUGUGAUGGGAUUGAGAAAGUUUCACUUGAUUGCAUGGAAACAAGUUUCAGAUGGAUAGCUGGUUAUGUGUUUCCUUGCUGUUCAUCUGUUUAUGACAUUCUAUUAACAUACUAUAUGGUUUAUCUUGGUAAUAGACUUUAAAAAAAAAAAAAAAAAAAAAAAAAAGCAUUGGUUUAUUUGCUCAAGGGUUAUCGGGAAGAAGUAGAUAAAUUACCAAGAGGGCCAGGGUUCCUUAACGUCUAUCAGAAACUCUAUGAAGCACCAGAUCCGUUUCCUGCUCUUGCUUCCGUUGUUGUAAUUACAGGAGCAAGAGCGUAAAUUAUCUGAAGUGGAGCCUGAGAAUCGAAACAUGAAAGUUGAACUUGAGGAAUUUAGGGCAGAAGCGACUCAUCUGAAAAAUCAUCAGUCCACAAUAAGGAGACUAGAAGAACGGAACCGCCAGCUUGAGCAGCUCAAUGGAAGAAAAUACUAAGGAGGUCGUUGAGAUCAAACAACGAAAUCAGAAUACGUUGGAUCUUUUUAAGGACAGGGAGCAAGCUUUGCAAGGUCAGUUCAUUGUCUCCACUCCACUAUGCAAAAUUUUGCAUGUGCUGGCACAGGAGCCAACUUUUUAACUUCGUGCUCAAUCAGGGACAUCUACGGUCCGUCUCAGCUACAAACAGCUAAUGAAGAUACUGAGAACUAGAAUAGGUGAGCUAGAAUCGCUUCAUAGGUUUGCUUUGGAGUUUGCGGGGGGCCACCACGUUGAUCUCCGUCUGCCUCGUGCAGCAUUCUUCUGAAUAUGCUUGCCGUGUUUCUUCCAUGGCUCGCUUCCUCCAGCGAGGAGAUGCAGACGUGAGAUAGUUCCAGACGAGAAGCUCCUUCAGCAGGUAAGUUUUUGAAUUAAGAUGGCACUUUAAAAGAUGAAAGACUUCUGGAGUUGUAUGAAGAGCUGGGGUAAUGAACAUCAGGCCAAAACCACGGCAAAUCCAGAUCUACCCGUCGUCGAAGACACGGCGAACGCAGCACAGUUCCCAUCGUUCCCACCCAAACCACCGGAUCCUGCAGAUACGAACCCAUCGGAGCCGAUCUCCCCGAUCGCUGCUCCACAGCCAUUUAAUCCUUUAGAUGAUCCUCCAGAUUCUAACAGAUUGGAACUGAUUUCAGAGGUUAAGGAUGCACCUAAGGUAGCUAAAGCUCCACGGUUGAAGAACAAAAAGCUACUCCGGAAGUUUUCAUGUGAAGAAGUCUAUGACAGGAUGUCAAAGAGGUUGUGUGCGUUCUCUGAAGAGGUUGAUAUUCCUGGUCAUCAUCUGAAGCACAAAGGAGUAACGAUUCUAGUGACUGACAAGGAUGAUGAACCCAUUCUUGAAGACACUUUGGUUGAACCCUAUGAACCCGUUACCAACACUGCUAUGAAGCAUGAUUCGUUUUCCAAAUCGUUGGAGUGUUUCACUUCAGCUUUGCAGAUUGUUGAUGUUGCAGUUCAGAGAGAGCACCAAGACGAAAGCAAUGAACACGAAAAGAUGAGCUUAUGUCUUGGAGAAAAUAUCAAACACAUGAUAGGCAGCCAAUCUCAAAAGGCGAAACUCGUAUGGGAGCCAGGUGGGUUACCAACUUAAGUAGCUCAGUGGUACUGGACAGAGAAACGUCAAAGCUUGUGGUUUUCUGCAGCAAAGUCAGAUACGCGACCGACCGAUGAGACGACUUCAUAUUCAACAUAAGGAACUGCAUUUAGAGUUUCAAGACAUGCCGAGAUUGCUAGUUGGUGCAUCUGAGUUUGGCGCUAAGAUUCAUAAACCUCCUGUUCGAAACAAGAAGCUAUUAGGUGAUGAAACCUUGGGGAAGUUCAGAGGAGGAAAGAGCUUAUGGCUGAUGUGAGAUUCAACCUUGUUCAAUCCAAGGAAGGUUAAAUUCUGCUAGAAAGUAUGGUUAAAUGUAAGUUUAGAGAGACUUAUGAAGCUGAAGUUCACAGUGGAGGUUGGGAUUUUACUGUUGAUGUCUCAGCUGAGUGGGGCAACCAAAAUCAGAGAAAAUGGUAUGUUCAGUAACGGAAAAUUCACUAGAUGCAAGGCAUCUUGUAGAAGGACUAAGAAACAGCGUUCACUGUUCUGAUGCGGAGCGUGUACGGGAGCCUGGCGGGUUGUCAGCUAAAGCAUCUCAGUGGGAUUGGUCCCAGAAUUAUCGGACUUGUGUACAGACUUUGGUGAUGUUACUUAGCCUGGCAAAAUAAAUUCAAGAUUGGACAGUGAAUGAAAAGUCCAGCCUUAAGGUAUUUAUCUAGAGGCAAGGAUUCAGUUCGAAACCCCUGGCUCAUGAGUAUGAGAAGCAGUUGCUGCUGUUCGGAUAUCGUUACUUAGAAGUGCAAGUGGGAACAUCCUUACAAGAUUUUGAUCUUCCAUCAAAUAUGGAUAUAGAUAUAGCAUUUUGUUGGAGAAUUUGGGAGUCGUUCUUGUGGUCUCUCUAUCGUGAGGCAAAUUUAACAAAUACUAGGCAAAAGGUUUUGACAAGGCCAGGAGAUAAGCAUUGCCGACAGUAUAAGUGUGGUUCAAGAGGGUCAGUUUAUGAUGGUAAUGUGCUAAUGUCAAUCUUUGCUGUGCUCGUGGGAGGCAAAUGGUAUAAUACGAAGUUGUUAGCUUCUGACCAGAAGGAGCACAAGAACCGUUACUUGUUCCCUGCUGGAUGUUCUUGCAAAACCAAGACCUUGCAGAUUUUAUGGUUAAUGUUGCAGAACAUUCAAAGCAGUGGCUCUGGCAGCAUGAGACACAUUCUGUUCUUGGUGAUUGAGAAAACUAGUGUGUGGUCUGUAUUGCAAGAUGUUGAGAUGUUCUUGAGCCCAAGACUGCUUCAUGACAAAGGAAAAUCAGUUUUUGCUGGCCCGAGAGCUGACCAAACCAUGCUGUUUAUUCUCGAGCAGGGAAUCAUUUUUUGUUUCUUCCAAGGAAGCUUACAUUCUGUUGGGAAGUGUUGUUAAAUGGAAGCAUAAAGAUAUUUCCAAAGUUGGAUCUCGCUAUGGAUCAAAUUAUGCAAAAUAGAGCUGCCUCGGUGGCGAUGUGAAGCAACUAAUCCGUGGUGAAAUGGAGUAUAUAUGAAGCACAAGUGGAAGUCUAAACUCUCAGAGACAGGUUCAGUCUUCAAGAUAAAUCACCAUUCUAACUUUGCAAAGUCGGUACUGGAACCAUCGUUGAUAGAUUUUAGUUUUGAUGAGUACGAAUUCUUCAUCGGCACACAUAGAGUUCCUAUUAAGAUGCCUAUUACGGUUAUGAGUCUACCCGUAGUUCUCCUAAAGCACAUAGUAAGCAACAAAUGCAAGGGAGACAACCUAGUGAAGGCAGCUCAACACGUUUUGGUUGCACAGGUUUCCCUUUUGGUGAAAAAUGAAUUACAAGAUACAAAGCUGCUUGCAGCUAGUGAUACAUUCCACAAGAGGUACCAAGAGGUACAAGAAGGAACUAUGGCUGUUUAUGAAGCUCACUCUCAGUUUAUGGCGAAGAAAAGAAUGUGCUAAAGGACGUCGCAGCAGGAGUUUGCUAUGGAUCAUAUUCUGGUCUCGAUUCUACUGCUCUUCUCACAGCUGGUACAUUUAUGGAUGAGUUCAUCUCAGUUUACUGGUUUUUUGCUCGGUGCGUUAGCUCUGGAUCGUAUAGUGGAUUUCAACCUCUCUAUCUCCGAUCUUCACCUCAUCUUUAUUCUCUCUUCAACCUCCGUGGACUCGGGUUCCUCAGAUGAUCUUCUUCCUCCUUUCUGAUCACCCUACGAUCCAGUUUCCCUUUAUUUCUUAGUUACUGUCUCAUCUCCGGCUGCCUGCAUUCCUGUGAAUAUGCUUGCCGUGUUUCUUCCAUGGCUCGCUUCCUCCAGCGAGGAGAUGCAGACGUGAGAUAGUUCCAGACGAGAAGCUCCUUCAGCAGGGAAGGAUUACUGCGGCUUCAUGUCGCAUAGAAGAUUCUCUGUAACAGUGCUGUAUAGAUUCUUCUAGCAGCAUGCUUCCUUGCGAAACUAGUAGAGCACAGUGCGCAUGUGAAGGAUCCAAGGUCGGGAAGAGAAAGUACCAAGAGCUUACCAAUCAUGGUUCUUUUGAUGCCCACAUGCACCCAAUUGAUGAGAUAAAGCUUUGGCACAAGUCAGUGAACAAGGAGAUGAAAGAAAUAGCCGAUGAGGCUAGGAAGAUUCAGCUGUCUUGAGAUUUUUCGGAUUAAUCUGCAUUUGAUGAACGCUUGCAAUAUAGUGCUGAAGUUUGCAUCUUCCACAGUCUUGCAGAGGACAAGAUCGUAUUUCCAGAAGUAGAGUUUCAUUUUCCGAGGAGCACGAUGGAGAAGAAAAUCAGCUUCACGAGUUUCGAUGCCUAAUUGAAAAUAUCAAGAGUGCUUGGGCAUCUUCCACUUCCGCUGCUGAAUUUUACAGAAGGGGUCCGAGGCCAAUGUCUCAAAAUCAAAAGGGUAGUCACGCCUCUGGUUGCAGUUCAGAGAGAGCACCAAGACAAAAGCAAUGAACACGAAAAGAUGAGCUUAUGCCUUGGAGAAAAUAUCAAACACAUGAUAGGCAGCCAAUCUCAAAAGGCGAAACUCGUAUAACAUUUGUGUCUCUCCAUAACCAUAACCAUACAAUGCGUGCAUACGAUACAGAUUUGUGAGAACCCAAUAUUGAAUAAAUAUAUGAAAAGUAACAUAGUAACUAA